Molecule: ribosomal RNA, 274 nt
Filed under: uncultured soil bacterium
Lineage: Bacteria
Description: partial 16S ribosomal RNA
Rfam family: Bacterial small subunit ribosomal RNA
Source: RNAcentral
AGAAUCAACGCUGGCGGCGUGCCUAACACAUGCAAGUCGAACGCGACUGGGGCUUCGGCUCCAGUUGAGUGGCGAACGGGUGAGUAACACGUGGGUGACCUACCUUCGGAUGGGGGAUAACGUCCCGAAAGGGACGCUAAUACCGCAUAACAUCCUGCCUUUGAACAGGUGGAGAUCAAAGCCGGGGAUCGCAAGACCUGGCGUUUGAAGAGGGGCCCGCGUCCGAUUAGCUAGUUGGUGAGGUAAUGGCUCACCAAGGCGACGAUCGGUAGCC